RNAcentral lists this ribosomal RNA (253 nucleotides) under uncultured bacterium. RNAcentral's name for it is "partial 16S ribosomal RNA". It matches the Rfam family "Bacterial small subunit ribosomal RNA", at positions 524 to 776 of the family's 1533-position model. The record is from RNAcentral.
UACGUAGGGCGCAAGCGUUGUCCGGAAUUAUUGGGCGUAAAGAGCUCGUAGGCGGCCUGUCGCGUCUGCUGUGAAAUCCCGGGGCUCAACCCCGGGCCUGCAGUGGAUACGGGCUGGCUGGAGGCAGGCAGGGGAGAACGGAAUUCCUGGUGUAGCGGUGAAAUGCGCAGAUAUCAGGAGGAACACCGGUGGCGAAGGUGGUUCUCUGGGCCUGUUCUGACGCUGAGGAGCGAAAGCGUGGGGAGCGAACAGG